UUUUUCACAGACGCCAUUUUCUUAGACUCGCGAUGCGGAGCAUAUGAGGAUGGAAAACAGCUAAAUUAAGUGUUUAAUCUUAAUCACAAUAUGUGUUUUGUAAUAUCAUAUCGUUUUAUAGCGAUAUUUAUGAGGUGUGUGCGCCUAAACUUUUUUAAAAGAAAUUUCUUCCACUUGCAAGGCGGACCAGACGAGGACGUUUCUUUUUAAAAGGGACACGCCGAAAGUUAAGUGUUUUAUCUCAUUUAUAUGUAUUUCACAACAUCAUAUUGAUUUAUAGCGAUAUUUGUGUGAUGUGCACUCCUAAACUUUUCCUCAGGAAAUUGGUUUUAUCAUGGAAAACACCGAACAUGCAUUUGAAUGGCUAUGCAUUGACGCGGAAGCCACUUUUAACAGGGGAAACAUAAGAAAGAGACAUGUUCUUUCACUGGAGAUGCGGAGCAGACGGGGAAGUUGGUCUUCUCAAGGAAAACACUGAAUGGUUCAUGCUGGCUUAACAGAAAAAUCGAAAGGAGAUGAUGUGCUUGAAGAGUAUGAAGCCAACAAUACAUUAAGUGGGAUGAGAAGAGCUUACACAUACCAGAGACAUGGGAGCACUUUUGUGAUGCUGCAAGUGGGAGUGGGUAUCUUGCUUGGCUGAAAACUGCAGAGAAACACAUCUCAUCUUGCUGAAAACUACUCUUUACAAGGAGGUCCAAACACCAUUAGCAGAGACUUUGUUCAGUUAGCAUUAACAUGCAUUCUGCCUGGAUGCUAAUGAAUGGGAUGCUGUUGUUUAAGCUGAUAAAUGUAAGCAUUAUAAACCUUGUGACAUUAAUUGUACAU
This is a long non-coding RNA of Onychostoma macrolepis, 825 nucleotides long. RefSeq lists it as uncharacterized. NCBI's taxonomy places the organism in Eukaryota, Metazoa, Chordata, Actinopteri, Cypriniformes, Cyprinidae. The transcript is spliced from 5 exons. The record is from RefSeq and is a predicted model, not a curated record.